RNAcentral lists this ribosomal RNA (465 nucleotides) under uncultured bacterium. RNAcentral's name for it is "partial 16S ribosomal RNA". It matches the Rfam family "Bacterial small subunit ribosomal RNA", at positions 338 to 795 of the family's 1533-position model. The record is from RNAcentral.
CCUACGGGCGGCAGCAGUAGGGAAUCUUCCACAAUGGGCGAAAGCCUGAUGGAGCAACGCCGCGUGGGUGAAGAAGGUCUUCGGAUCGUAAAACCCUGUUGUUAGAGAAGAAAGUGCGUGAGAGUAACUGUUCACGUUUCGACGGUAUCUAACCAGAAAGCCACGGCUAACUACGUGCCAGCAGCCGCGGUAAUACGUAGGUGGCAAGCGUUAUCCGGAUUUAUUGGGCGUAAAGGGAACGCAGGCGGUCUUUUAAGUCUGAUGUGAAAGCCUUCGGCUUAACCGGAGUAGGGCAUUGGAAACUGUGAGACUGGAGUGCAGAAGAGGAGAGUGGAACUCCAUGUGUAGCGGUGAAAUGCGUAGAUAUAUGGAAGAACACCAGUGGCGAAAGCGGCUCUCUGGUCUGUAACUGACGCUGAGGUUCGAAAGCGUGGGUAGCAAACAGGAUUAGAUACCCUAGUAGUC